Molecule: long non-coding RNA, 1005 nt
Filed under: Numida meleagris (helmeted guineafowl)
Lineage: Eukaryota; Metazoa; Chordata; Aves; Galliformes; Numididae
Description: lncRNA (ENSNMEG00000001001.1)
Source: RNAcentral
CCAUGUCCCCAACAUCCCCAUUGUCCCCCAAUAUCCCCAACAUCCCUAACAUCCCCAACAUCCCCCAUGUCCCCAACAUCCCCAAUGUCCCCAACGUCCCCAAUGUCCCCAAUGUCUCCAACGUCCCUCAGUGUCCCCCAUGUCCUCAACGUCCCCAAUGCCCCCAUUACGCCCAAUGUCCCCAGUGUCCCCCAGUGUCCCCAAUGUCCCCAACAUCCCCAAUGUCCCCAGUGUCCCCCAUGUCCCCCAAUGUCCCUGAUAUCCCCAACGUCCCCAACAUGCCCAAUGUCCCCAAUGUCUCCAACAUCCCCGUUGUCCCCCAGUGUCCCCAUUGUCCCCCAGUGUCCCCAUUGUCCCCCGAUGUCCCCAAUGCCCCCGUGCUCAUCUCCCCCAUUGCAGUUCGCCAUCGGCUCCCUGAUGGACGAUUACCUGGGUCUCGUCAGCUGAGCGCCGUGGGGCGAGCGGAGAAGAUGGGGGACGAGGGACAGGGGACGAGGGACGAGGAUGGACGUGGGGCUCGGCCGUGGGGUGGCCCACCCCCUCCGCUCCCAAUAAAAAUGUUUUUUUUUUUGUCACUCCCCCGUCUCACUCCGCGCGUGGGGACGCGCGACACGCGCGACAAUCCCUCGGCGGGCCCCACCUCCGCCCAUCGCCGCUUUAAGGCGACGCGCGGCCGCUUGAAGAGGGCGGCUCGGCCGCGCAUGCGCGGCGCGCGGGGUGACGCCCGGCAGCGCGCUUUGCGGACUUCGGCGGCGCUUUGCGACGGCCGCGCUUUACGGCUCCGGGUCGCUUUCCGGCAGCGCCGCGCCGCCCCACCCUCUCUCUCUCUCUACUGCGCUCCUCAAGAUGGCGGUGUCCGGGGUGAGUGCGGCGCCCCGCGCCCCAUCCGCCGCCAUCCUCCGCCCCGAGCGGACCGGGGGGAACGGCAACGGCGCGGAUCGGCGCGGGGGGAUCUCCCGGAGGGACCGAGGGCGAUCGGGGCGGCGGAAGGGCGCGGGGGGAGCG